GUAUUGCUUUUGACUUUGGAAUGAAAUAGGUAACUUAUCUCACAAAAUGUAUUUUUUUGUAACUUGGCCCUGUGCCUUUAACUCUAAGUAAAUGCACUUAAAUGAAAUCUUUAGGUUACGUUCCUUGACAGUUUAAGGCAGGGCAUUGACAUCUGCUAUUUUUAUUUAAUAUCUACAUUGGUCAUUUCAUCGGAUAAUCACGUUUCCUUAGAAACUAUGUGUCACACCCUGGUCAAAGUAUUUUGUGUUUAUCUUUAUUUAUUUGGUCAGGCCAGGGUGUGGCAUGGGUUUUUGUAUGUGGUGUGUUUGUAUGGGGAUUGUAGCUAGUGGGGUGUUCUAGCUAAGUCUAUGGCUGUCUGAAGUGGUUCUCAAUCAGAGGCAGGUGUUUAUCGUUGUCUCUGAUUGGGAACCAUAUUUAGGCAGCCAUAUUCUUUGAGUUUGUCGUGGGUGAUUGUCCUUAGUGUCCUGAUGUCAUUGUUCUGUGUUAGGAUACACAAGUAUAGGCUGUUUCGGGUUUUGUUAAGUUUAUUGUUUUGGUAGUGUUUGUGUUUAGUGUGUUAUUUCAUUAAACAUGGAUUGCAAUAGACACGCCGCAUUUUGGUCCGACUCUCCUUCUCAUACAGAAAACCGUUACAGAAUCACCCACCACCAACGGACCAAGCAGCGUGUCAACAGGCAGGAACAGCCCAAAGUGGAGUACAGUAUGGACUAUACUUCUUGGGAGGAGAUAGACAGGUGGGCGGUCGACCCAGGGAGAGUGCCGGAGCCCGCCUGGGAUUCGAUGGAGCAGUGCGCGGAAGGAUAUAGGAGAAUGGAGUUUGCGAAGCAAGCAAGGCGGCGCGGACGGAGGCCCCAUAGUCAGCCCCAAAAAUUUCUUGGGGGGGGGCUCAGGGAGAGUGUGGCAGAGUCAGGAGCCAGACCUGAGCCAACUCUCCCUGUUUAUCGUGAGGAGCCAAGGAGGAGACCAGAACCAGAGCCGGUGUUGGAGGUGAGCGAAACAGAGACUGUGAAGGAGUUAAUGGGGAAAUUGGAGGAGAGAGAAAUGAGGGAGUUGCUGUGUUGGUGUUUUAAACAUGGAAUUCGCCCGACGGAGCGUGUCGGGGAUUUGAUGGCACCUGGGUCAGCGCUCCAUACUCGUCCUGAGGUGCGUGUUAGUCGGCUGGUGAAGAUGGUGCCAGUCUCACGUACCAGGCCUCCUGUGCACCUCCCUAGCCUUGCACGUCCUGUGCCAGCACCGCUCUCAAGAUCUCCAGUACGCCUUCACGGUCUAACCCAUCCUGUGCCACCUCCACACCCCAGCCCUCCGGUAGCAGCUCCCCGCACCAGGCUUCCUGUGCGUGUCCUCGGCCCAGUACCACCAGUGCCAGCACCACGCAUCAGGCCUACAGUGCGCCUCGCCUGUCCAGCGCUGUCGGAGCCCUCCUCCUCUCCAGCGCUGUCGGAGUCUCCCGCCUGUUUAGCGCUGUUAGAGCCUUCCUUCUCUACAGCGCUGCCGGAGUCUCCCGCCUGUUCAGAACUGCCAGUUAGCAUAGAGCUGCCAGUUAGCAUAGAGCUGCCAGUUAGCAUAGAGCUGCCAGUUAGCAUAGAGCUGCCAGUUAGCAUAGAGCUGCCAGUUAGCAUAGAGCUGCCAGUUAGCAUAGAGCUGCCAGUUAGCAAGGAGCUGCCAGUCUGCAAGGAGCUGCCAGUCUGCAUAGAGCUGCCAGUCUGCAAGGAGCUGCCAGUCUGCAAGGAGCCGCCAGAGCUGCAUGUCUGCAGGAUGCCACCAAAGCUGCCAGCCUGCAAGGAGCCGCCAGAGCUGCCAGUCUGCAAGGAGCCGCCAGAGCUGCCAGAUAGCAUGGAGCAGCCAGGGCCGCCAGUCAGCAUGGAGCAGCCAGGGCCGCCAGUCAGCAUGGAGCAGCCAGGGCCGCCAGUCAGCAUGGAGCAGCCAGAGCAGCCAGGGCCGCCAGUCAGCAUGGAGCAGCCAGAGCAGCCAGGGCCGCCAGUCAGCAUGGAGCAGCCAGAGCUGCCAGUCAGCAUGGAGCAGCCAGAGCAGUCUGCCAGCAUGGAGCAGCCAGAGCUGCCAGUCAGCAAGGAGCAGCCAGAGCAGCCAGUCUGUGUCGACCAGACUCUUCCAGAUCUGCCAGUCGUCCAGACUCUUCCAGAUCUGCCAGUCGACCAGACUCUUCCAGAUCUGCCAGUCGUCCAGACUCUCCCAGAUCUGCCAGUCGUCCAGAUUCUCCCAGAUCCGCCAGUCGACCAGAUUCUCCCAGAUCUGCCAGUCGACCAGACUCUCCCAGAUCUGCCAGUCGACCAGACUCUCCCAGAUCUGCCAGUCGACCAGACUCUUCCAGAUCUGCCAGUCGACCAGACUCUUCCAGAUCUGCCAGUCGACCAGACUCUUCCAGAUCUGCCAGUCGACCAGGAUCUGCCAGCCAGCCAGGAUCUGGUAGAUUUGUCAACCUGCCUGAGCUUCCUCUCACUCCUGAGCUUCCUCUCACUCCUGAGCUUCCUCUCACUCCUGAGCUUCCCCUCAGUCCCGAGCUGCCUCAGUCCCGAGCUGCCCCUCAGUCCCGAUCUGCUCCUCAGUCCAGUGGGGUUCUGGGUGAGGACUACUAGGCCAUGGUCGGCGGCGAGGGUGGACUAUCCAGGGACGCGAGGAGAAGGGACUAAGACAUUGAUUGAGUGGGGUCCACGUCCCGCGCCGGAGCCGCCACCAUGGACAGACGCCCACCCGGACCCUCCCUAUUGUUUUGAGGUGCGUUCGGGAGUCCGCACCUUAGGGGGGGGGUUCUGUCACACCCUGGUCAAAGUAUUUUGUGUUUAUCUUUAUUUAUUUGGUCAGGCCAGGGUGUGGCAUGGGUUUUUGUAUGUGGUGUGUUUGUAUGGGGAUUGUAGCUAGUGGGGUGUUCUAGCUAAGUCUAUGGCUGUCUGAAGUGGUUCUCAAUCAGAGGCAGGUGUUUAUCGUUGUCUCUGAUUGGGAACCAUAUUUAGGCAGCCAUAUUCUUUGAGUUUGUCGUGGGUGAUUGUCCUUAGUGUCCUGAUGUCAUUGUUCUGUGUUAGGAUACACAAGUAUAGGCUGUUUCGGGUUUUGUUAAGUUUAUUGUUUUGGUAGUGUUUGUGUUUAGUGUGUUAUUUCAUUAAACAUGGAUUGCAAUAGACACGCCGCAUUUUGGUCCGACUCUCCUUCUCAUACAGAAAACCGUUACACUAUGUGUGAAGGAGAGCCUUCACUAUGGACUAAAUGACUAUUGUUAAAUAUAUGGAUUCAAAGUAUUUAUUGCCAUUUUAAACUAUAAAUUAUUGUGAUGCAGUGUUUUUUUUCUGCAUUGAUUUAUUUAAUCCAUAACCUGCGCUUCUAAUCAUCUCCAAACAUGUCCUGUUGUAGUGCAUUGCUCAUUGUAUUGCCUAAUUUGGUGGGAGGGGCUUAUC
This 3408-nucleotide long non-coding RNA is filed under the name Oncorhynchus mykiss (rainbow trout). RNAcentral's name for it is "lncRNA (ENSOMYG00000075711.1)". Lineage: Eukaryota; Metazoa; Chordata; Actinopteri; Salmoniformes; Salmonidae. The record is from RNAcentral.